This 696-nucleotide ribosomal RNA is filed under the name Triticum aestivum (bread wheat). RNAcentral's name for it is "partial small subunit ribosomal RNA". The record is from RNAcentral. Lineage: Eukaryota; Viridiplantae; Streptophyta; Magnoliopsida; Poales; Poaceae.
AUGUGGGAAGAAUGCUUGCCUCAUAUUGAGUUUGCUUAUAAUCGUUCAUUGCAUUCUACUACUAAGAUGUGCCCUUUUGAAAUUGUGUAUGGUUUCCUACCUCGUGCACCUAUUGAUUUGUUGCCUCUUCCAUCUUCGGAGAAGGUUAAUUUUGAUGCUAAACAACGUGCUGAAUUGAUCUUAAAAAUGCAUGAGUUAACUAAGGAAAACAUUGAGCGUAUGAAUGCUAAAUAUAAACUUGCUGGAGAUAAGGGUAGAAAACAUGUUGUGUUUGCACCUGGAGAUCUUGUUUGGUUACAUUUGCGUAAGGAUAGAUUUCCUGAUUUGCGCAAAUCAAAGCUAAUGCCACGUGCUGAUGGUCCCUUUAAGGUGUUAGAGAAAAUAAAUGAUAAUGCAUAUAAACUUGAGCUGCCUGCAGAUUUUGGAGUUAGUCCCACUUUUAACAUUGCAGAUUUGAAGCCUUAUUUGGGUGAGGAAGAUGAACUUCCGUCGAGGACGACUUCAUUUCAAGAAGGGGAGGAUGAUGAGGACAUCAAUACAAUUGUUACACCCACAGCCCCUGCUGCUAUACAUACUGGACCAAUUACUAGAGCUCGUGCACGCCAACUAAAUUACCAGGAAACAGACCCUCGUGGUCAGGUUGAUCGUGCUCCGGCGUGGUCAAUAACCUCUCGGAGUUGGUUUAGCGAUUGCUAA